GAGGUAGUGGCUCAGCGGUAGAGCACUCGCCUAUCAUGUGUGAGGCCCGGUUCAAUCCUCAGCACCACA
This 69-nucleotide transfer RNA is filed under the name Marmota monax (woodchuck). RNAcentral's name for it is "tRNA.Asp". Lineage: Eukaryota; Metazoa; Chordata; Mammalia; Rodentia; Sciuridae. The record is from RNAcentral.